GCCCAGGUAGCUCAGUUGGUAGAGCAGUGGAUUGAAAAUCCUCGUGUCGGUGGUUCGAUUCCGCCCCUGGGCACCA
This 76-nucleotide transfer RNA is filed under the name Gammaproteobacteria bacterium. Its description in RNAcentral is "tRNA-Phe". It matches the Rfam family "tRNA". Rfam says of the family: Transfer RNA (tRNA) molecules are approximately 80 nucleotides in length. Their secondary structure includes four short double-helical elements and three loops (D, anti-codon, and T loops). Lineage: Bacteria; Pseudomonadati; Pseudomonadota; Gammaproteobacteria. The record is from RNAcentral. RNAcentral also lists the same sequence under 5 other names.